This 297-nucleotide ribosomal RNA is filed under the name uncultured bacterium. RNAcentral describes it as "partial 16S ribosomal RNA". It matches the Rfam family "Bacterial small subunit ribosomal RNA", at positions 59 to 339 of the family's 1533-position model. The record is from RNAcentral.
AAGUCGAACGGAGUUCGAUACCCAAAGCCUUCGGGCCGCGGGGAUCGGAUUCAGUGGCGGACGGGUGAGUAACACGUGAGUAACCUGCCUAUUUCCGGGGGAUAACAACGGGAAACCGUUGCUAAUACCGCAUAUACUGGUCGAGCGGCAUCGCUUGACCAGAAAAGAUUCAUUGGGGAUAGAGGGGCUCGCGUCCGAUUAGUUAGUUGGUGGGGUAAAGGCCUACCAAGACCGCGAUCGGUAGCCGGACUGAGAGGUUGAACGGCCACAUUGGGACUGAGACACGGCCCAGACUCC